This 46-nucleotide transfer RNA is filed under the name Loranthus europaeus. Its description in RNAcentral is "partial tRNA-Phe". Lineage: Eukaryota; Viridiplantae; Streptophyta; Magnoliopsida; Santalales; Loranthaceae. RNAcentral also lists the same sequence under 4 other names. The record is from RNAcentral.
CGGGAUAGCUCAGUUGGUAGAGCAGAGGACUGAAAAUCCUCGUGUC